Molecule: long non-coding RNA, 2485 nt
Organism: Cyanistes caeruleus (blue tit)
Lineage: Eukaryota; Metazoa; Chordata; Aves; Passeriformes; Paridae
Source: Ensembl
ACGGCCCCUCCCGCCGCGGCCCCUCCCGCCGCUCCUUGGGCGGGCUCCGCGCUGCAGGCCAGCCCCAGGCUAGGGCCCGCCGCUUCCCCACCAGCCCGGCCUUCUCCGGGGUCUCCAGCCUGGCCGGGGCCCAGCCCGGCCUUGGCCUGGUCCCAAAUUAUUUAGGCAGAACAAACGCCUGGGAGGGGCGUCCCUGCAAGGAUAGAGAGAGGCUGCUGCCAUCACUGAGGGGGCCCGAUACUGGAGUCUGGUGGUGUGAGCACACAACCAGCCCGGCUCUGGGAUUUUAUCCUUCCUAAUCCCAUGUAAUUGUAAUGCCUGGGAAAAGAAGGAACAACCUCUGCAGUGUUAGAUUCGGCAGAGAGGAAAGAGACCAGCUCCCUCCCUGUGCGGCUGUUGCUGAGGAGGGUUCCCCUUCUGACAGCCUGAGGUGACAAAUCAAGGUCAAGGGAUAGAUGCUCCCCUUCAGCACAGCACGACCAAGAACACAGGAAAACGUUAGGGUCAGCAGCAAAGGAUGUGCUUAAAAGACCACAUGGUUUUCUCUCAAGCACAGUAAAACUCCUCACCAGGAAUGAGCUGCUCAGCCUUUUUCCAUGAGUCAGUCCAAACCCAUCACACCUAUUCAUUCUUCAGGAUCAGCUUGGCAUCACACAGGAGAGCACUUCCCCCGGAAUCCAUCCUCUGCGGAUGCACCAGGCACAAAGCUCCACGGACCACUCUUCACACAGGUGUAAGUAAAUCCUGCAGGGAGCCUUUAACCACCUCAACAGCAGCUCCCAGCUUUGAGGGAUCCAAAAAUGCUGCUGCUGUGGGGGCAUUAGGAGCUACAUCAGCUCCUGGGCCGUGGGCUGUGCCUGUCCUGAUCCCAGUCCUGGUGUUUCACUGGGACUCAGCUGGGUGCACAGUGGGCUGCAUCAAGGAGUUAAACCUUCAAAACAAAGAUUUGGAGGCAAACAAGCUGUGCCAAGGAGUUAGAUCUUCAAAACAAUGCAGGUUUGAAUAUGAGAGCUGUUCCAUGAAUUUAGCCUUAAUUACAUCCUGUAGAGCUAUAACCAGCUACCACACUGUAAAGCAGGUGAAAACCCCCACUUUUAUUUCUUUAUGGUAUCACAGGUGGAACAGCUUAAGUUGGAGUGUCCUUAACAACAACAGCAACAGCAAAGAAAUACAAGGAUGGCUUGAAAGUAGCUUUAUUUAGUAAUGCUGAGUCUGUACAGAGCUAGGGAGAUUCCUGCUGCAGUACAGCAGCUGUACUCCUCACUGUCUUCCCAAAUGGCUGCUUGGUUUGCCAAACCCAUUUCUCUUCAAAAUGUUAAUAGAUGACAUUAAUUAAAACACGAGCCAAGCCUAAAGUAAAGGUUUUUUCUAAUCAAAGUACUUCUAAAUGAUUACUCUCUUGGCCUCUGCGAUGUUGGCACCUGACAGGUCACUCAGGGUUUACCCUGUACCAGCCAUAAAUUAUUUCAUCUAUUAAAAAUAGAUUCCCAUCCCUCCAUCCUGCGAGGGGCUGAAUCAGCAGGGAGCUGCACCCACAGUAGCACAGCCCAGGAAUUUUUGUCUUUAGGGUUGGCAUGAUGGUUCCUUCCCUCACAGGACAGCUGCUGAAGGAUUGAGGUGAGUUUGGUCACCCACAGGUUGCUGACACAGGUGCCAUCUCCAGAGUGAGCAAGGAAGCAGUGCCAGAGCAGGGAGUGGAGGGUCAGGAGCUCUGUCCCCAAAGUCAGUGUCCUUUUAGCUCGCUGGGACAGACAGAAAUAGGCCUGAAAGCACAUUCCCCAAGCGGCCUAAUUUCCCUGCCCUCACACAAUGUUCUCUUUCCUCCUCAGCACCAGGGUAUUUGUUUUAUUUUAGGAUUUAGGAGCUUACAACCUUUAUCGAAGGAUAAAGGUGCUCAACAAUUGACUGUAAUUUUUUUUUGGUUUUGGCUUAAGUAUUGCAAUUAAAGAGCAAAAGCCAGGCCAGUGUAACAAAGCAAGGCAGGUUAAACAUCCCCACCACACAAGUCUCACCCAGAAAACAGCAGAACAGCCCCCAAACAAAUAAUCCUCUCAUUCCUGCUGUCAGCUUCCCUUCUUUAAGUACUUGAAAGUUCCUCCCUGAACCAGGCUGUUGUGUUCAAGUAGAAAAAGGUCAGGGUGACACAGAAAGGGUUUAACUUCCUCCCCAGCACUGAAUCUCUGACCUGGAUGACAUUCAAGGUUGUCAAGGAAGCAGUUACAAACAACUAUAUUUAGGAAAUGAAAACACCUAUUUCCUCUCUCCUCUGCUCAGAGGCCAACACUCACCUGCAGUGUUUGCAGGGAGCUGUGACAAGAAGCUUAAUGGAAAGGAAGCAAAAAAAACCCCAACCCCCUUCUUUUCACUGGUUUAGUAGGUCUUAUGGAGGAAGAAGAUGGGUAGAGAUAAAAAGACUAAGCCUAAGUAGAGCACAGGACCAGCUUAACAGGCUCAGAAUAAACCUCCCUCCUGCUGUUAUUUAACA